RNAcentral lists this ribosomal RNA (254 nucleotides) under uncultured bacterium. Its description in RNAcentral is "partial 16S ribosomal RNA". It matches the Rfam family "Bacterial small subunit ribosomal RNA", at positions 524 to 776 of the family's 1533-position model. The record is from RNAcentral.
UACGUAGGGUGCAAGCGUUAAUCGGAAUUACUGGGCGUAAAGCGUGCGCAGGCGGUUUUGUAAGUCUGACGUGAAAGCCCCGGGCUUAACCUGGGAAUUGCGUUGGAGACUGCAAGGCUUGAAUCUGGCAGAGGGGGGUAGAAUUCCACGUGUAGCAGGUGAAAUGCGUAGAGAUGUGGAGGAACACCGAUGGCGAAGGCAGCCCCCUGGGUCAAGAUUGACGCUCAUGCACGAAAGCGUGGGGAGCAAACAGG